AGGAUGAACGCUGGCGGCGUGCUUAACACAUGCAAGUCGAACGGAGGGUCGUUUUCGGAUGACCUUCAGUGGCGCACGGGUGAGUAACACGUAGCUGACCUGCCCUCGAGAGUGGGAUAACGGGUCGAAAGACCUGCUAAUACCGCAUAAGCUCACGGGUUUUAGAGACCCGAGAGAAAAGGCGAAAGCCGCUUGAGGAGGGGGCUGCGGACCAUCAGCUAGUUGGUGGGUAAUGGCCUACCAAGGCGACGACGGGUAGGGGGCCUGAGGGGGUGGUCCCCACACUGGGACUGAGACACGGCCCAGACUCCUACGGGAGGCAGCAGUGAGGAAUAUUGCGCAAUGGGCAAAGCCUGACGCAGCGACGCCGCGUGGGUGAGGAAGGCCUUCGGGUCGUAAAGCCCUUUUACUGCGUGACGAGAGAGACGGUAGCGCAGGAACAAGUCUCGGCUAACUACGUGCCAGCAGCCGC
RNAcentral lists this ribosomal RNA (472 nucleotides) under uncultured soil bacterium. RNAcentral describes it as "bacterial SSU rRNA". It matches the Rfam family "Bacterial small subunit ribosomal RNA", at positions 26 to 518 of the family's 1533-position model. The record is from RNAcentral.